GUGGGGAAUCUUAGACAAUGGGCGCAAGCCUGAUCUAGCCAUGCCGCGUGAGCGAUGAAGGCCUUAGGGUUGUAAAGCUCUUUCAGGGGGGAAGAUAAUGACGGUACCCCCAGAAGAAGCCCCGGCUAACUCCGUGCCAGCAGCCGCGGUAAUACGGAGGGGGCUAGCGUUGUUCGGAUUUACUGGGCGUAAAGCGCACGUAGGCGGAUUGGUCAGUUAGAGGUGAAAUCCCGAAGCUCAACUUCGGAACUGCCUUUAAUACUGCCAGUCUCGAGUCCGGAAGAGGUGAGUGGAACUCCUAGUGUAGAGGUGGAAUUCGUAGAUAUUAGGAAGAACACCAGUGGCGAAGGCGGCUCACUGGUCCGGUACUGACGCUGAGGUGCGAAAGCGUGGGGAGCAAACAGGAUUAGAAACCCGUGUAGUCC
This 425-nucleotide ribosomal RNA is filed under the name uncultured bacterium. Its description in RNAcentral is "bacterial SSU rRNA". It matches the Rfam family "Bacterial small subunit ribosomal RNA", at positions 354 to 796 of the family's 1533-position model. The record is from RNAcentral.